This 5220-nucleotide long non-coding RNA is filed under the name Dasypus novemcinctus (nine-banded armadillo). RNAcentral's name for it is "lncRNA (ENSDNOG00000050559.1)". Lineage: Eukaryota; Metazoa; Chordata; Mammalia; Cingulata; Dasypodidae. The record is from RNAcentral.
UGCCGGCAACGCGCGCCCCAGCCCGUCACCCCUGCCGCACACUGGGCACUGCAGCCUCGGGGACUUCUUUCCUUCUUUUUCUUAGUAGAGAAGUUGCAGGUUUACGGAAAAGCCUGCACAAAACAACAUUUUACAGCGGUGCAACCGCGGGCCCUUCCUCCCCUGGGCCUCGGUUUCCUGAUAGGCAAAGUGGAGAAUGGGGCUGGACAGGCUCUCAGCUCGCAAAGUCUGACUCUGCACAUGGACCGCAGGCCCUGCCUGCCGUGCGCUGUGCUCAGAAACAGUCCAUGUUGCCUGUUUGGGCGAUGACUGUGAUGGUAAAAUGAGCAGAAGUCCUGUCGUCACUCUUAGGACUGCCAGCCGAGGAAGGGUGGUCGUGGGGCCUGCGGGGGUGCUGAGUCAGCGGCCGGGCCUCGGGGGUGUUUCACACUCAGCUCUUAGGUCGCAGGGUCGGAGCCCCAGCAGCCAGGUAAGGGUGCGCAACAGGAAGCCAGAAGAGAAACCGGUUUUUCCAAACCAAGAAAAUUGUAGGGCAAGAAGGAGAUGGAUGAGGCGCAGUAUGUCUCGCCAUCCUCGACACAGCCUUGGUGCUUCUGACGUACUUGUCGCUUCAGCUCAGGAAGACAGCGGCGAGAGCGGCCGAGGGGCCGCAGGGGAGCCAGCCCCCCAGGAGGAGCCGAGGCUGUCGGAGCGGGCAGCGCCAGCAGCCCCGCAGCCCUGCUCAGAGCCUCCCUCGGGGCCGCCGCCCGCCACCACCCCGCCCCUGGAUGACGUCCACUCCGACGACUCCGACGACGUCAUCUCCCCCUCGCUGCCCGGGAAGAAAGCCGCCUCCCCUCCCCGGCUCCGCGGCCAGCCCUCAGGCGGCUCCUCCGGACACGGCCAGGGUGCGCGCCCGCUCCCGAGCACGUGACCGCUCAGCCUGGAAAACGGUGUACCUUGUAAGGAGAGGAAGAGCCCCCCUAACACGCAGCCCCCGCUGGACUCUCUCUCGUGUGCUGUUAGCUUGUUUGCGCUCUGGGCACCCGAAGGCUUCCUUUUAUUCUUUGGGGAGACCGGGUGCUGGCAUCCUUCCUCGCCUUUGGCUGCAGUUCACAAUUACGAGUUCAGUGCGGCAGCCUUGCCCACCCCGAGUCGCGCAUCAACGGGGCCCCGGCCAGAGGCUGGCCUGCCCUUGGCCCUGACGUGGGGCCAGCCGCCCCCCAGGAGCCGGCCCUGACGUCGCACCCUCCACGCCGGUGACCUCACUCUGCGCAGGAGACAGACAGGGCUGGUCGGGGAGGUGUCACGCGCGCGGGGCCGGGCUGAGGGGCCGCCAGUUCUCGUGCACCAGCUCCCUCCUCCCCCACCUCCAGAGCCACGGCCCGGCUCUCUUCUCCCCUGGGACCCUGCCCCGGAGCACCGUUCCUCAGGGACUGUGGGUGGGACUUUGUCACCCGGCAGGCUAACCCUUAAAAGAAAGCAAAUUAAAAUCUCAGAAGCUGCAACAAAGUGCAGCAGGGCGUAAGCUGCUGCCCAGAGCCCCCUGGUCGGUGCUUUAGCCUUUGGUGGUCGCCCCGUGGAGACCUUGGCAUCCGGAAGCUUCUACACCGCUGCCUGCCGCCACAGCCGGGUGUGCCCAUCCAGAAGUCAGCGGCCGCGUGUGGUGGCCGCGUCCCCUUUAGAGCGCGGUCUCGGUGCUCGGUCAGCUGGUGGGUUGAGGUCAGCCCGUCCGGAGGGUCAACGUGGAGAGCCUCAGGCUCGGGGAGGACUUCCAGGGCUCGACCAGCCCAGGUGGACCCCUCCGGGUCUUUCUGAGGCCGAACGGCGGGUCCGCCCAUUGCCCACCAGUGGUGGUGUGAGCCCUGUGCCCCACCCCCACCCCAGACACUCACCCGCUCCAGCGUCGACCUUGACGGCAAAGCCCUCCAGCACGGGCCAAACGCGGCCUUUUCCCAGGAACCCGGCGGGCGCCCAGCCCCGAGCAGCCGCCUCGGCGGGGAGAGCGGGUGGCUUCACAUCUGUCUCCUGUCCAGCGGGUGGCCGGGGCCAGCCAGAGGCCCUGCCCCGUUGUCUGCCUUGCCUCUGUUUACCCAGCCAACCAGGAAAGUUCAGCCAGGGCCUCGUGUGUUCAAUUUUUGUCCAUUUGGUUUGGGGGCCGCCCGGUCACCUUUCUUUUCUCUUCCCCCGGAGCUGACUGGUAGCUGGGUUGAGUCCCUGCUGGCCUGCGCAGCUGCUGGCCAGAGCUGACCAUUAGCAGAGCCCAGGGGCUGACAAGGACCGGAGAGGACGGGCAGGGCUCCCUCCAGAAGAGCGCGUCCCCCCACUGGAAACCGGUGGCCUAAGAAGCCGUGGGGCCGGGGCCUCCCUGCCUUGGGGUAGGGCAUGCAGGGUGUGCCUGGGGCCAGGCUGCCUGGGCAGGGGCUGCCCGGCACCCGGAGACGACCCCCGAGGGGCCGCCGCCCCAGGCAGCGCUGCGGGCUCACAGCGACUGAGAGCAUGCUCCAUGGACGGCCAGCGCGCACCUUCUCCCGUCGGUGCUCCUAAGCAGAGGUGCUUCCUUGGUGAAAGCAAGCGCUCGGCCCUGCGGCAGCUUCUGGUGAGGGUGCCCGCCAGCGGGCCCUGUGCAGGCCAGCACCCACCUCAGCUGGCUGCACCUGUGGUUUUGCCUCCCAGAGAGCAGUGGCUGCAGGGCGGCCCAAAGCCGGGCCCAGGGAGCCAGGGCUGCAAGGGCGUCCGGCUUGGCACACUGGGCACGCCAGCAGGAGGGGAGGCCAGGGGGUGCCCGGGCCCGGGGAGCAAGGCUGUGAUCUUGAACUUGCCCUUGACGAGGUGCCCCCAGGAGACAGCCCCAGAGGGGUGGAGAGGGGCCCAGGGCAGGAGGGGUCCCCAGCCCGCUCCCGGCCACCCGCAAGCGCCGACACCUGCAUCAGCACCCGAGCCCUGAAUUUCCAUUCCUCGCACAGGAGAAACUCACACAGGGGUGUGGGGCGAGUAGUUCUCCAAACUCAGUUUAUUUUUUGUUUUCAAAACAGGGAAGGCAUACUUACGAAUCAGACAACACAGAUGGCCAAAACCAGAAACACACGGAGUGGUUUCCAGGGUUGGCUUUCCAGUGUCGGGCUGCAAAGAGCGAGAUGCCUGAGCCUCGUUCCACAUGGCUGCCAGCGCGGGGCCCCGGAACCCUGGCCCCAGCCCACCUUCGUGCCCCCACAGCCACUGGGUGGUGCUGGCCAGUGGCUCGUGUGGACAACUCCAUGCUCCCCCCACAAGCUCAGCACAAGCUGGGUGGGCCUGGCAGGUGACCCAGAACCCAGACCACCCACCUCUAUCCCGCCCACCCCCCCGCAGCUGACUCAGCAGACCUGUGCCCACAGCUGCCAGGCCUGGCUCCUGAACGGGCAGUGCCCCCCAUGCACACACACGUGCGCACGCAGCCUACACAUCCACAUACCUGCACACGCAGACCCACACACUCACAUACACAACUCACACAUGCACACUAACAGCUCUCUAAACUCUGCCACCUGCAGUUCUAGACAGCAAUGAAAUUGGCCACACUGAAAAUACGGGCUUAUUAUAGGUGUGGAAGAAAUAGUCCAGUGUCAGCUGGUUAGCGCUCUGUCCGUGUGAUGAUACACAUUUACACCCACAUGUAAAGUAAGACGGUAAUUUAGAAGCUGCUGUGCUACAUUCUUCGGUCUCAGGAAACCGCACACAUCUGCUGCCUCAUGGCUUUGUGGCCACGUUUCAAGUCAGACACGGUUUUCCAGCCCACGCCACCUUGAGCUCCUUAGUUGAGAUUCGGACAGUGGUUUGAGGAGUCUGUACAGGACGUGAUGCCCCCGGAAGGUCCUCGUCCCCAGCCACGAGCACCGGUGUGCGUGACGUUAGGCUGGCCCGUGGCUUCUGCCCGUGGUGUGUUCGUGUCCACAGUGCCACCACCACCCAGUUUUAAGUGACUGCGUUUUUACAGACGGCGCUUUGCACGUGAGGUUUUACAGCCGGGCCAGCUGCUGAGCCUGAGCCCGAGCCCAGGGUCGUCGUCCUGCCUGCUGGCAGUGGCCCUGCUUCUGCCUUCAGCCUCCGGGGCUUUUCCCAACAGCGCCCUGCUGCCUGGACAGGGGCCCCGCAGCACCGUGCUCAGAAGGGGCGUCAGCAGCAGGCAGCUCCCUCUUCCCCAAAGGAUAAUUGGGGUUCCCCCUGGGGGACCUGCCUCGUUCCCCCCCCCCAGCCAGCCUCCGUCCCUCCGCUGUGGGGCCUCCCACAUGCCAGUCACUCAGCUGGCACGCUCAGCUGAGCCGUUUCUUCUCUAAAAUGGCACUUCAUAUAAAUAAAUAAACCAUAUCUAACACAAUAUGAAAAAAUAAUAGAAAAGUGUUGAGGAGCCACAAUCACCCGCAAUCCCUCCACCUAGAAAUAAUCGUGUUGACAUUUGGUAAAUAUCACAGCCAUCUCUGCGUUUAUAAAUGGACGGUUGGAUGGGUGGAUGGAUGGAUGGACAAGCAAAUACAUGAGUAAGUUUGCCACUGUGAACUGAGGUGUAUACUGGCCACUUGAUGUUUAAAUAUUGCACUUAAUUUUACUUGAAGAGAAAAAGGCGGGGAGCGGCAGCAGCUGCUGGCGCUUGCGCCCCACUCCUGGGCUGAGCCCGGCGGGCCGUGCUCGACGUCCUCACCGCGUCGGCCGGCUGGCAGCGCGCUUGCGUCUGGCUCGAGGUACUGGUCUGUCUGGGGAGCUGCCAUCCUGGGCCAGCUGACUGUUUUCACGGCCUGCGCUGCCUCGGGCUGCUCAUUCUGGUUUGCGCUGAGGGAGGACGCCGCUCCCAGCUUCCCACCUGGCUGCGUUCUGCAGGCCAGAGGCUCCCUCGGACCUUGCCGUAGCUGCAGAUGGGGGCUCCCGUGUGCCCCUGAGCUGUUUCUCUACCAAGGGCCACCCCAAGACUUCACAUUGUCCCCCACAGGCAUGUAGAGUGGAGCUCCAUAAAAUGCAUGGCCUGAGGGUGCAUCCUCUACCGCCCAAAGGCAUUCUGGAACAUUCCUCCAUAUGCCUUCACCCCUACAAUGAGUUUUUUGCAAAUGGGGGGGAGUGGGGCGGUCCUAGCAGGCAUUCUCAGAUUUCUGUGCCCUUGGUUUCUCCCCUGCAACUUGAUGGCGUAGUGUCAAGGCACGUCCUGUGUCUCUGUGGAGUCCUCCAGUUGGUUUCUCUUUUUCCUUAAACUGAGCUCGAACCCCUUUCCUU